UGUCAGGUAGCUCAGUGGUCUAGAGCAGUCGCCCGGCAAGCGAAAGGACCCGGGUUCGAUUCCCGGUCUAGUGA
This 74-nucleotide transfer RNA is filed under the name Harpegnathos saltator (Jerdon's jumping ant). It matches the Rfam family "tRNA". From Rfam's summary of the family: Transfer RNA (tRNA) molecules are approximately 80 nucleotides in length. Their secondary structure includes four short double-helical elements and three loops (D, anti-codon, and T loops). Further hydrogen bonds mediate the characteristic L-shaped molecular structure. tRNAs have two regions of fundamental functional importance: the anti-codon, which is responsible for specific mRNA codon recognition, and the 3' end, to which the tRNAs corresponding amino acid is attached (by aminoacyl-tRNA synthetases). tRNAs cope with the degeneracy of the genetic code in two manners: having more than one tRNA (with a specific anti-codon) for a particular amino acid; and 'wobble' base-pairing, i.e. permitting non-standard base-pairing at the 3rd anti-codon position. Lineage: Eukaryota; Metazoa; Arthropoda; Insecta; Hymenoptera; Formicidae. The record is from Rfam by way of RNAcentral.